RNAcentral lists this long non-coding RNA (587 nucleotides) under Gallus gallus (chicken). RNAcentral describes it as "lncRNA (ENSGALG00010019364.1)". Lineage: Eukaryota; Metazoa; Chordata; Aves; Galliformes; Phasianidae. The record is from RNAcentral.
GCCAGGUCUGUCUGCAGGUGUGAGAGCGUAGUCCUGUGCGUGUAUGCCCUUUCCUUGCACGAUCCACUGGUAUGCUCCACUAUUCAGUGAUGCCGUUGUGCACGGAAACUUUUCAUGGGUCUUUGGUUGCAGAAGUGCCCCCAGGGAGGGCCUUGCUGGUUUCUCGGCUCCUUCCUGCGAUGGAGACCAGUUGGAAUCCCAUGGGUCCGCAAAGAGGAAACAGAGGAAAGGAUACACCUAGAAGAGGGAAGUACUACUGGUGGUCAUCCCGUGUCCUAAAGGAACCUGUGAAGAAAAUGGAGAAGGCAGCGCAUGGUGGGACUAAAGGGACUGACCAAGAGACUGUGCAGAAGGAGCCAUUGCAGGAAAGCAGCAGUGACACACGGCCAGUCUCUGAUAGAAAAACACAGGCAGAACAAGCAGCUGGAUUGCCAGGUAAUUUCAGUCCCAUGGUCAUCUGGUGUCACCAACCAGAAUCACUGUGUGCCACCAGGCCCUUCCUGCCCGCUCUUGCGCAGCAGGCCGGCAGCCAAACGUGAGCAGGCUAGUACAGAGCACGUGCUAUAAAGGAACGUGAGGGCGAUGAG